Molecule: ribosomal RNA, 484 nt
Filed under: uncultured bacterium
Lineage: Bacteria
Description: bacterial SSU rRNA
Rfam family: Bacterial small subunit ribosomal RNA
Source: RNAcentral
GACGAACGCUGGCGGCGUGCUUAACACAUGCAAGUCGAACGGUGAAGCCCUUUCGGGGGUGGAUCAGUGGCGAACGGGUGAGUGACACGUGAGCAACCUGCCCCUAACUCUGGGAUAACUCCGGGAAACCGGUGCUAAUACUGGAUAUGAGAUCUCCGGGCAUCCGGUGGGUCUGGAAAGAUUUAUUGGUUAGGGAUGGGCUCGCGGCCUAUCAGCUUGUUGGUGGGGUAAUGGCCUACCAAGGCGACGACGGGUAGCCGGCCUGAGAGGGCGACCGGCCACACUGGGACUGAGACACGGCCCAGACUCCUACGGGAGGCAGCAGUGGGGAAUAUUGCGCAAUGGGAGAAAGCCUGACGCAGCGACGCCGCGUGGGGGAUGAAGGCCUUCGGGUUGUAAACCUCUUUCAGCAGGGAAGAAGCGAAAGUGACGGUACCUGCAGAAGAAGCACCGGCUAACUACGUGCCAGCCGCCGCCGUAACAC